CACUGCCCAUCACUACCACCAACUGGAUGGUUUAGUGAGGCCCUCAGAUCGCCCCUGCUGGGAUCAGCCCACAGCCUUGGUAGAGCCCUGAGAAGACAGUCAAACUUAACUAUCGAGAGAAAGUGAAAGUUGUUAAGCAGGGUUUCCAUACAUGAACCUGCAGAAG
Molecule: non-coding RNA, 166 nt
Filed under: Loxodonta africana (African savanna elephant)
Lineage: Eukaryota; Metazoa; Chordata; Mammalia; Proboscidea; Elephantidae
Source: Rfam by way of RNAcentral